GCGCCGGUGGUGUAAGGCGAACAUCGCUGCCCGGAAAGCAGAAGAUGUGGGUUCGAGUCCCGCCUGGCGCA
Non-coding RNA from Heligmosomoides polygyrus, 71 nucleotides. Lineage: Eukaryota; Metazoa; Nematoda; Chromadorea; Rhabditida; Heligmosomidae. The record is from Rfam.